GGACCCGUAGCUCAGCCAGGACGGAGCGGCGGCCUUCGGAGCCGUAGGUCCCGGGUUCAAAUCCCGGCGGGUCCG
This 75-nucleotide transfer RNA is filed under the name Saccharolobus sp. Its description in RNAcentral is "tRNA-Arg". It matches the Rfam family "tRNA". Rfam says of the family: Transfer RNA (tRNA) molecules are approximately 80 nucleotides in length. Their secondary structure includes four short double-helical elements and three loops (D, anti-codon, and T loops). The record is from RNAcentral. Lineage: Archaea; Thermoproteati; Thermoproteota; Thermoprotei; Sulfolobales; Sulfolobaceae.